Molecule: long non-coding RNA, 307 nt
Filed under: Brassica napus (rape)
Lineage: Eukaryota; Viridiplantae; Streptophyta; Magnoliopsida; Brassicales; Brassicaceae
Description: long non-coding RNA (BNAP_LNC019489)
Source: RNAcentral
GGGGUGCUAGAGACUUGUAUCAAAAAUAUCUCUCUAACGACGAUACAAAGAUUAGGUGUAUAUUCCUAAUGGUGUUGCAAAGGUUGGGUGGAUAAAUUCUAAUGGUGUAACAGACGUUUGGUGAAGAGUCAUGUUGGUGAUUAUGGCAGUACAAUACGUGUGUCGGAUUUCGCUGGAGGUUGGAAACCAAGGGUUUGUGUGGUACUUGGUUUGAGACGAGGUUUGUUGUUAAUGAAAACAAAGUCCCACAAUUAAAGUUUAGAGAAAUAAUAGGGGUGAUUGGUUGGAUUAUAACUAUAAAAAAAUU